GUGUGGGGCGGGCUUGCCCGCGAUAGCGGAGUGUCAGUCAAUGUAUUAGGUGGCUGAUCCACUGCCAUCGCGGGCAAGCCCGCUCCCACU
Molecule: unclassified non-coding RNA, 90 nt
Filed under: Pseudomonas gessardii
Lineage: Bacteria; Pseudomonadati; Pseudomonadota; Gammaproteobacteria; Pseudomonadales; Pseudomonadaceae
Source: RNAcentral